Molecule: ribosomal RNA, 371 nt
Filed under: uncultured bacterium
Lineage: Bacteria
Description: bacterial SSU rRNA
Rfam family: Bacterial small subunit ribosomal RNA
Source: RNAcentral
GGGCCCGCACAAGCGGUGGAGUAUGUGGUUUAAUUCGAUGCAACGCGAAGAACCUUACCAGGGUUUGACAUCCUGCGAAUCUCUUGGAAACAGGAGAGUGCCUUCGGGAACGCAGUGACAGGUGGUGCAUGGCUGUCGUCAGCUCGUGUCGUGAGAUGUUGGGUUAAGUCCCGCAACGAGCGCAACCCUCAUCCCUAGUUGCCAUCAUUCAGUUGGGCACUCUAAGGAAACUGCCGGUGAUAAGCCGGAGGAAGGUGGGGAUGACGUCAAAGUCCUCAUGGCCCUUACGCGCUGGGCUACACACGUGCUACAAUGGCAAGUACAGUGGGCAGCAACCCCUGCGAGGGUAGCUAAUCUCCAAAACUUGUCUC